ACGGGUGAGUAAUGUCUGGGAAACUGCCUGAUGGAGGGGGAUAACUACUGGAAACGGUAGCUAAUACCGCAUGACGUCUUCGGACCAAAGUGGGGGACCUUCGGGCCUCACGCCAUCAGAUGUGCCCAGAUGGGAUUAGCUAGUAGGUGGGGUAAUGGCUCACCUAGGCGACGAUCUCUAGCUGGUCUGAGAGGAUGACCAGCCACACUGGAACUGAGACACGGUCCAGACUCCUACGGGAGGCAGCAGUGGGGAAUAUUGCACAAUGGGCGCAAGCCUGAUGCAGCCAUGCCGCGUGUAUGAAGAAGGCCUUCGGGUUGUAAAGUACUUUCAGCGAGGAGGAAGGCAUUAAGGUUAAUAACCUUAGUGAUUGACGUUACUCGCAGAAGAAGCACCGGCUAACUCCGUGCCAGCAGCCGCGGUAAUACGGAGGGUGCAAGCGUUAAUCGGAAUUACUGGGCGUAAAGCGCACGCAGGCGGUUGAUUAAGUCAGAUGUGAAAUCCCCGAGCUUAACUUGGGAACUGCAUUUGAAACUGGUCAGCUAGAGUCUUGUAGAGGGGGGUAGAAUUCCAGGUGUAGCGGUGAAAUGCGUAGAGAUCUGGAGGAAUACCGGUGGCGAAGGCGGCCCCCUGGACAAAGACUGACGCUCAGGUGCGAAAGCGUGGGG
This 668-nucleotide ribosomal RNA is filed under the name Hafnia sp. J02. Its description in RNAcentral is "bacterial SSU rRNA". It matches the Rfam family "Bacterial small subunit ribosomal RNA", at positions 102 to 766 of the family's 1533-position model. The record is from RNAcentral. Lineage: Bacteria; Pseudomonadati; Pseudomonadota; Gammaproteobacteria; Enterobacterales; Hafniaceae.